GGACCACCACACAGGCAAGUGCCCGGGGUGGGGCGAGCGAGAGGGUGAGCGCGCAGCCGCAGCCCGCGCGCAGUCAAGCGACGCCGGCACCCACGUCCACGUCCCGCCCCGCGCAGUGUGCAGGCCCCGGCGCGCCGCGUGGGCCGCUGGGUGCGGCUGUGACGUCGCCGCGAGCGGCCAUGGGGACGUCUAGUCCGGCUUCUGCACUAGGCCUGUAUCCACUGUGGUGGCCGUUCCCGUAGCCGCCCGGCCCUGCAGGUGCUGUUGCCAUAGGAAGAGAAGCGCGACUGAGCACAGGUGAUGAAAUCCCCAUGUGAAAGAAGUCCCACACAGUACCCCAGAAGGAAAGUAAUGUCCUUAGCAAGGACAAGACAUUGAGACCACGAGAUUGCUGUACAAAGCGAACUUGUUUUUUUGCCUCCCCUACACUGAGAAGGCAUCAUUCUUCUCCGUGGAGAAAACCAAGAGACGUCUUUCCGGGAUAGUUUUACUCCAGUGGCAUUGGGCUACAGUGGGACCCCUGGGGUCCAAACAUACUCCCAAAUGUG
Molecule: long non-coding RNA, 548 nt
Organism: Manis pentadactyla (Chinese pangolin)
Lineage: Eukaryota; Metazoa; Chordata; Mammalia; Pholidota; Manidae
Exons: 3
Source: RefSeq, a predicted model, not a curated record